GUAGGUGGCAAGCGUUGUCCGGAAUUAUUGGGCGUAAAGCGCGCGCAGGCGGUUCUUUAAGUCUGAUGUGAAAGCCCACGGCUCAACCGUGGAGGGUCAUUGGAAACUGGGGAACUUGAGUACAGAAGAGGAAAGCGGAAUUCCACGUGUAGCGGUGAAAUGCGUAGAGAUGUGGAGGAACACCAGUGGCGAAGGCGGCUUUCUGGUCUGUAACUGACGCUGAGGCGCGAAAGCGUGGGGAGCAAACAGGAUUAGAUACCCUGGUAGUCCACGCCGUAAACGAUGAGUGCUAAGUGUUAGGGGGUUUCCCGCCCCCUUAGUGCUGCAGCUAACGCAUUAAGCACUCCGCCUGGGGAGUACGGCCGCAAGGCCG
This 373-nucleotide ribosomal RNA is filed under the name uncultured organism. RNAcentral's name for it is "partial 16S ribosomal RNA". It matches the Rfam family "Bacterial small subunit ribosomal RNA", at positions 527 to 896 of the family's 1533-position model. The record is from RNAcentral.